RNAcentral lists this ribosomal RNA (253 nucleotides) under uncultured bacterium. Its description in RNAcentral is "partial 16S ribosomal RNA". It matches the Rfam family "Bacterial small subunit ribosomal RNA", at positions 524 to 776 of the family's 1533-position model. The record is from RNAcentral.
UACGUAGGGGGCAAGCGUUGUCCGGAAUUACUGGGUGUAAAGGGUGCGCAGGCGGCUUUAUAAGUCAGAAGUGAAAGAUUUGAGCUUAACUGAGAAAUUGCUUUUGUUACUGUAGAGCUAGAAUGUGGUUGAGGUCAGCGGAAUGUGGCAUGUAGCGGUGAAAUGCGUAGAUAUGCCAUAGAACACCGAUUGCGAAGGCAGCUGGCUGGGAUUAGAUUGACGCUGAGGCACGAAAGCGUGGGGAGCGAACAGG